This 1004-nucleotide long non-coding RNA is filed under the name Hordeum vulgare. Its description in RNAcentral is "long non-coding RNA (HVUL_LNC007138)". Lineage: Eukaryota; Viridiplantae; Streptophyta; Magnoliopsida; Poales; Poaceae. The record is from RNAcentral.
GGGUGAAUAGAUUACUUGUCAAGAUAAAAUUUCUAGCCUAACCUAAUUUCUAGGAGGGCAGAAAUCUAGCAAUUCUAACAAGUUUAGGCAACCUACACAAGCAGUUCUAAGAGUAUAGCAGCGAAAAGUAAAACAUGCAAGUGUAAUGUAGAGGAGUAAGGUAGGGAGAUCAAACGCAUCAGGUUGACACGGCAAUUUUUGGCAUGGUUCCGAUAGGUGGCGCUAUUGUACAUCCAUGUUAGUGGAGACUUCAACCCACGGAGGGUAACGGCUACGAGAGUCCACGGAGGGCUCCACCCACGGAGGGUCCACAAAGAAGCGGCCUUGACUAUCCCACAACGGCUUUCGUCCACGGAGGACUAGCCUUACUCACGGUAGAUCUUCACAAAGUACGCGGUCUCCUUGUCCUUACAAACAUCUUGGUUCAACUCCACAACACGAAGGUGGAAGCUCCCAAGCAACACCUAACCAAUCUCGGAGGCACCACCCUCCAAAAGGUAAUAUAUGGGGUAGAUCAAUGAACUCUUUGCUCUUGUGCUUCUAAAGAUAGUCUCCUCAACACAAAUCUCUCUCACACAGAAUAUGCAUGGGUAGGAGAGGUUUAUUUCGUGGAAAGCGGUUUGGGAAUGCUAGAGAUCAAGUUUCAAAUGAUAGGAUUGGAAUAUCUUGAUCUCAACACAUGAAUAGGUGGUUCUCUCUCGAAAAAUGGAUCUGGAAAUGAAGUAUGUGUCCUGAGUGCUUCUCCCACGAAUGAGAGGUGGGUGAAGGGGUAUAUAUAGGGAGCAACCAAAAUCCAACCAUUACACACAAAAGAGCAAACUCGGUGACACCAAAGUUGGAAACUCGGUGGUACCGAUUAGCACUAAAGGUGGCAACUUUUGAAUCUUGGUGAAACCGAUAUAUGAAUCUCGGUGGUACCAAUAUUGGUGUCCUAGGCAGUUUCCAAAAUUCGGUGAAACCAAUUCUCAAAACUCAAUGGUAACAAUUCUUGAAAACGCCUAACC